CUUUCCGCUCCCAAGAACAGGGGCAAAAUUCAGUUGCAAGAAGAAGGUGCGAGUUGUCUUCCAAAUUCAUAGGGCUUCAACUACAAAAAUUCUUCAUAGGUACGAUUUUGAUUUCUCUCUUUAUUUCUAUUUCUGUUUAUAGAGCUUUUCGCUUCGAAGAACAGGGGCAAAAUUCAGCUGCAAGAAGAAGGUGCAAGUUGUCUUCCGAAUUCAUCGGGUUUCUUACUGUUUGACUUUCUAUUUCUUUGUUUUUGUUGGCCUAUUUUUGGUUACUCUUUCUAAAAAUUUAAUUUAAUGUUUGUUUUGUGUUUGAGAAACUAGUGCUUAUGUUUCUUUUACCAAUUAUGAGGGCUUGUGCGCAUUGGGUAGAAUAGAGGCUCUUGAGAAUAAUGUUCACUGUUUUUUUUUUAUUUUUUUUUACUAAUCUUAUGAUUGUGAAGUUUAUGUACUACUAGUAUUAGAGGUACUAUUCUGAAGAAUCUGAACAUAUGUAUUAACUAUUCAACAUCUAGUUAGGGAUAGAAGAAUCAUAACCGUCUAAUCCUUUCUAUGUACUUUUUUUUAGUUUGUCCCAAAAAAGAAUUGCACUUGGAAACAAUUAAAUCUUAAACUUCUCAUUUGACCAUAAUGAGAUAGAUUUAUAGCCCACACAAAUGUCUAUGGCUUGUUUUAAACUACAAGCUUCAAAAGUUUCUUUCUUAAAUUUCAAGACUAGUCAAACACCAUUAUAUAAAAUGGGAUCGGUGUCCAAAUCUCUUAGUUUGGACACGUCUACGUUUGUCAAGUAAGUCAAUCAUCUUAUCAAUCAUACCUCUAUCGAAACUAUUUGGGUCGGCUAUCAUUAUCAAUUCAGUGAUCCAUGAUUAUUACCCCAAAAUAUAUCCGAAAAAAUAACAACAACAACAACAACAACAAUAAUAUACUCAGUAUAAUUCUACAUAAUGGGAUCUGAGAAGGAUAAUAUGUAUGCAGACCUUACCCCUACCUUUGUGGAGGUAAAGAGGUUAUUUCCAAUAGACCUUCCGCUCAGACAACUAAUCAAAAUGCAACUUAAGGCAAAUACAUGUUCAUGAAUACGUCUGGUGUCUGGUGCAUUUGUUUGGAGGAUGAAAAUAAUUUGACAGUCGCUAUCUCAAAAAGUGUAAAAAUGAUAAGUGAAUUCUUUGAAAUAUUAUUUUGUAGCAAUAAUCAUUUCUAAUACUUGAUACAUAUCCAAUAUAGUAUACAAGUCCUUCAUUUCUAAUAGUUGUUUCUGCUUAUAAAUGUUAGGCGAGAGAGUUGGCUGAAUAAGAAUCUAACAGUGAUGGAGGUUUCCAGAUAUUUUUUUACAAUAUAUUUCAUCUUUUAACACAUGUUUUUUAUAAUUUCAGCUAGUUUGAUAAUUUAGCGGGUGGAAGAUUUCAAUAUUAUGAAAAAUUGCAGAAAUUAUUUGAAGAUAAUCAUUCGCCAGGAUUAGUUACAUAAUAGCAUUAGCUAUUUCGUUCAAAAAAUAUAAUUUUAUAUUUUAAGUUAAUGUGAUGUUGAUAUUUUUGAUUAGUACUUCCUUCUGUUUGUUCAGAUUUAGUGAGAUAUAUUAUAUUUUUUUGGGAUUAAUAUUGAUACAUCUUUUUGUUUGGAUCAUCUUUUGGAUGAAUGUAGUAACUAUUAUUAAUGAUGGCUAAAUUUUCCAUUACAACUUGUGACUUUUAGCUUUAAUUUAAUUGGAUAUAACGGUUAUAAAAAUGGACGAUGAAAGCGCAAAAUUAAUACGCUUCUACAAGGAUAUUAUAACCAUUAUAAUUAUUGGAAAACAAUUGUUGUUAAAGAUAUUGACUUUUAGCAGAAAUUUAGUUGAAUAUAUUAGCCGUUAAAAUGGAUGUUAAAAGGGUAGAAAGGUACUACAACAAUUCUAAUUGCCGCAAAACAAUUGCGAUUAAUGAUACAAACUUUUAUAUGCAAUUAUUUUGAAUUUAGUGGGUAUAUAAAAGGACGCUAAAGGAGCAUAAUUAGCCAUUUUUAGAUUGGAUUUAGCGACCAUCAUAAUUGCCGCAAAUAAUUGCCGUUAAAAUUAAUGAUUUUUAACUGCAAUAAAUCACACUUUUUACCAACUUUUGUGAUAAUGGCCGCUAAAGGCUUUGCUGACGCCAGUAUCAACGACUAAAUACCAAUGGCCAAUAAAAUAUAUAGCGGCUAUUGUUAUUGCCGCUAAAGCCAUUUUCGAUUGCCACUAGAGCCCUUUUUUGUUGUAGUAUGCGCUGGAGUUUUCUUUAGCUGCUCCUCCACAGAGUACUCUUUGGUCGACAUUCUCUUCCAGAACUCCGCGGCUUCUGGGUCUGUUAUGUUCCUUCUUUGUAUCUGUUCUCUUCCCAAGUUCCCUCGAUUUGCAUCGUCAAGAGCGUAUCAUCUCUCUGACCUGGUCAUACCGUGGGCUACUACCGAAUCUAUCAUCUUGGCCUUCCCUUUUUGCUGGUAGGUCCAUGGUACAGUUUUGUAUUCCCGACUCUCUUCAUCCCCUAUAGCAACGACAGGUUGUCUCUCUUAAGUCUGCACUAACACCAUAGGUCUCACUUGUACAGUAAUCAUUGGAGUCCUUUGAGGUGGGAUCCUGGCGGCUUCUGCAUUUCCUAUUGUGACAACCAUUCUCUUCAUAUCAUAUUCUUCGUUCAAUGUAAUCAUGUUGACCCCCUAGUUUCGAUGAUUUUGUCACACCCCAAACCUGGGGAGGUGUGGCUGGCAUCCGGUGCUGUACUGGCCCGAGGGAACCACUCUGUAACUUAUUCUUUCUCUAACUACCAUAAGCCAACAUGACCAUAACUUGUAAUGUAUAACUGUAAAUGGGCAAACAUUGUAUCACUGAUCCAUCAUUCUUAAAACAUGAAUACACAUGGAAAGUCAAGGCAUCUGACAUACUAUAUAUAAUGAUCCUGUGUUUACAAAGCCUCUAAGAUUAUUUGACAUCAAACGGGACAGGGUACCGGCCUACCCAUGAGUCCGUAGCAAAACUCUGACACGAUGACUUAUAGACUCGGCUGCACUCCGAAUGAGGUGGAGUCUUACCGAUCCUCCGCUGAAUGCUAACCUCGUCUAUAUUGAGGGCUUGUCAAAUUGAUUAUCUAUAACUACAGGCAUGAAUGCAGCGUCCCCAACAAAAGGACGUUAGUACGAAUAAUGUACCGAGUAUGUAAGGCAUGUAAAUAAGUAUAUAAAGAACAUGGAAGAAAUAUGGAGCAAAGGACUCAACCUGUAAGUUUGGAUAGCUUUGUAAAUCAUGAAAUAUUUAUAAUGUCAUGCAUAUGCGUUGAAUGUCAUAUAUGCAUAGGUCUAUAUGUACAUAACAUUAUCAAGUCUCUGAGGGUAUCCCAUCAUAUCAUCUCAGCCUCUGUGGGCAAAAUCAUCAACGUAUACCAGCUGAUCGGGUGGUGGUGCGUUUAUAUUGCUGUAAACUUUUCCUAUAUACUAUAUAUAUAUAUAUAUAUAUAUAUAUAUAUAUAUAUAUACUAGCGUAUAUGACGCCAUCUGGUCAUGGGUAAAUGCACAUGUAUAAAUGAAUGCAAUGCAUAAUGAAGUAAUUCAAUACGAUCUCUUGGAAUGUCAUGAGACCCAUGAUAGAUGAUAUAGUAGUACGCUUGUCAAUAUUAUUUGAGUCUAAACUAGAUAUUAAUCCUAGUGAUUGCAUUUUCUUUAUAUACGCGACAUUAACAUGUCUUAGUCUAGCAUGCCAUAAAGAGAUAGACUCAACCAUAUAAGCAGAAGCAAAUGCAUUUUUAUUGCCAGUAUCAGAAAUAUUAAGCACAAAUAAACCAUGGUUACAAUAUACAUUGCCUACAAAAAUAUUAUUUUUGGUCGAUACAACCUCAUCAUUCUCGAAAGAAACUUUCACUCCAAUGUUUGCUUCCCUAUAAUUGAAAUACCCGACAAACAGUGAAUAAAUAUAUUUUAUUUUGAGAAAACCCUUUUACUACUAACCGAGCUUUAUAUUUAUCUAUAGAUCCUUCAAGAUUAAAUUUCUUUUUGAAAAUUAAUUUACAACCAAUAGGCUUUGCACUAGGAGGUAAAUCAGUUAAAAUCCAUGUAUUAUUUUUCAAAAUAGAAUCGAUUUCAACUUUUAUUGCUAGCAGUGAGAAAAUACGUUCUUUCCAACGCUUGAAAUUUUCAUUGGUAAAAAUUUCGAUAUUCGAAACAUCUGGAUAUGGCAUGGCAUAUGAUAGUGCAACUGGAACUAGGGCAGCGUAGGUAACAUCAAUAUUGGUAGUAUUAGCAUAUUUUACUUUGCUUCUUUCGUUCCUCUCCAGCUUCCUUUUCUUUCCUCUUUAAAACAUUUGUAGUCUAUUUUGUUUGUUCCCUUUUUUAAAUAGCUGGGUUUGUAAUUUAAUAUUUUUGCAGAUUUCUGUAUCCUCCUAAAAUAGAGAUAGGCUUGUUUAAUCCCGGAAAGACAUUUCACACUAUUGAAAUAGAUUCUUAGGACAAAGCCAAGCACGAAUAAAGCCAAUUCGUGUAUUUCUGCACGAAAAAAUAAUAUUGUAGUGUUUUUAUUUUCCGGUGUCGUUAUUACUAUUAUAAUAUUAUUACAAAAUAAUAUUAUUGAGUACUUUGCCCAAAUGUAUUGCAUCCUAUGUCUAUACAUUAUGAUUGCCAAGCGGCAAUAGUUAUAGUAAAGAAAAAAUCCUAUAAUUGUAAAAGUAGACAUAUGAAAUUGAGACAUGAUGUCGUAAAGCAGCUGCUGAGAGAUGGAAUAAUUUCCAUUGAUUAUGUGAAGUCAGAAAUUAAUUUGGCCGAUUCUCUGACUAAACUAGUGGGAAGAAAAUUAAUUCUUCAAAC
RNAcentral lists this long non-coding RNA (4797 nucleotides) under Nicotiana tabacum (common tobacco). RNAcentral describes it as "long non-coding RNA (NTAB_LNC015825)". Lineage: Eukaryota; Viridiplantae; Streptophyta; Magnoliopsida; Solanales; Solanaceae. The record is from RNAcentral.